Long non-coding RNA from Suricata suricatta (meerkat), 506 nucleotides. RefSeq lists it as uncharacterized. NCBI's taxonomy places the organism in Eukaryota, Metazoa, Chordata, Mammalia, Carnivora, Herpestidae. The record is from RefSeq and is a predicted model, not a curated record. The transcript is spliced from 2 exons.
UGUGCCCAGCCUAUCCCAAGCCCCUUGUCCCUGGCUCACAUCCCUCCAGUGCAGGGUCCACCUUGGAAGCUGUGUGGGUGCCAGUCCCUCCCCACUCCAGAGGGCACCUGCCGCGGUGUCAGCCCUCCCAGGGUUCUUUAAUGUAUGGACAGCUGACUCUAAGACACCCGCACCUGUUCAAGGACAAGGGCCCAGCUCGCCUCCAAUCUUCAGAACAUAGUGGCAGGCCUCACCUCCUGGGACUGGAGUCCAGUAUCGUCCUACAUCAGGGACCAGCGAACCCAGGGUAGAGCUGGGCGCCUGAGACUCAGCGGGAGCUCUGUAGUUUUAACUCUUUACCUCCAGAACUGUGAUUAAUUUCUGGCCACUUAAUCAAAUUAACUGUCACAGAUCCAUCAUGGUUUCUAAUUUUGGGGCCAAAGUUUCUAUGAUUCAUCUGUUCCACAGAGAAGCCUUGAAUCUACGCCUACUGUCAGGUUAAAGUAAAGAUAAUCUGUGUGAUUCUG